This is a non-coding RNA of Camellia sinensis, 924 nucleotides long. The record is from RefSeq and is a predicted model, not a curated record. Lineage: Eukaryota; Viridiplantae; Streptophyta; Magnoliopsida; Ericales; Theaceae.
CGGCACCAUUAUUAUAUACUUUGCAGCACAGUCAAAAGAGAGGAAUGCUUGGGCUUUAGUGGUUGUGGCUGCAACUGGUGCUGCAGCUGUGUUAACUGCUAGUGCUUUAGCUAUGGCUACAGCUGUGAUUGUUUUCAUGAUAUUCUUAUCAAUUUUGUUAAUAUAAAUUUUAUUGGUGGCUAAUUAACUAAUUAACAAUUGCAGACACAAAUGAAGGAGCUUGGGGCGCAAUCAAAUGCUACAGAUGAAGAGAUUAUCACACAGGUUCUAGGGCCUGAGCGACCUGGUCGUGUUCGAACAUAUGGAUUAGAUCCUUCUCCAACAAAUGUCUUUGGAGGUGGAUAUAGGCAAUCACAAGAACAAACUCGUAUCAUCCAAGUGCAAGUCCAAGAGCAACUUAGCCAAUAUAAAGCACAAAUGGAGAUGCAAAUGAAGGAGAUGAUGGAUGCUAUGCUUAAUCAACAUAAAUUACAAAUGGAGAUGGAAAGCACAAUCCAAGCUCAACAAGCACGAAUAGAGCAAAUGGAGUCUCAAUAGGCCAUGGGUGGGCCUGUUGCGCUAGCUGCUACACAUGUGCAUUCACAACAACAAUCACAUGCAUACACCUCAUCGUUUAAUUGCCAUCAUUCGUCCGAGGAAGUUCACAUAUCAAAGAUAUGAAAGAAGAAGAAGAAGUAAAUAGGACAAUUUUAAUGAAAGAAGGCAAGGCAUCUAAGCUCCGUGAGAAGUUUGACGCCAACAAGCACGUGGAUUGAAGAGUACAUAUAUUUUGUGUAGUAAAAAUCUCAUGAAAUGUGCAAUUAAUUUGGUUCAUAGACGAGUUGAGUACUUUUAUGUACUUUCCCUAACUCUGUACAACGUUUUAUGAUGUGUUGAUUACAAUAUAUUGGAUGUAUAAAAAUUAUAAUUAGCUUGAUGCAUGGU